GAUGAACGCUGGCGGCGUGCCUAAUACAUGCAAGUCGAGCGAACAGACGAGGAGCUUGCUCCUCUGACGUUAGCGGCGGACGGGUGAGUAACACGUGGAUAACCUACCUAUAAGACUGGGAUAACUUCGGGAAACCGGAGCUAAUACCGGAUAAUAUAUUGAACCGCAUGGUUCAAUAGUGAAAGACGGUUUUGCUGUCACUUAUAGAUGGAUCCGCGCCGCAUUAGCUAGUUGGUAAGGUAACGGCUUACCAAGGCAACGAUGCGUAGCCGACCUGAGAGGGUGAUCGGCCACACUGGAACUGAGACACGGUCCAGACUCCUACGGGAGGCAGCAGUAGGGAAUCUUACGCAAUGGGCGAAAGCCUGACGGAGCAACGCCGCGUGAGUGAUGAAGGUCUUCGGCUCGUAAAACUCUGUUAUUAGGGAAGAACAAAUGUGUAAGUAACUAUGCACGUCUUGACGGUACCUAAUCAGAAAGCCACGGCUAACUACGUG
Molecule: ribosomal RNA, 497 nt
Filed under: uncultured bacterium
Lineage: Bacteria
Description: partial 16S ribosomal RNA
Rfam family: Bacterial small subunit ribosomal RNA
Source: RNAcentral